This 253-nucleotide ribosomal RNA is filed under the name uncultured bacterium. Its description in RNAcentral is "partial 16S ribosomal RNA". It matches the Rfam family "Bacterial small subunit ribosomal RNA", at positions 524 to 776 of the family's 1533-position model. The record is from RNAcentral.
GACAGAGGGGGCAAGCGUUGCUCGGAAUUACUGGGCGUAAAGGGCGCGUAGGCGGGAUGGCAAGUCGGUCGUGAAAUCCCUCGGCUCAACCGAGGAACGUCGAUCGAUACUGCUGUUCUUGAGGAUUGCAGAGGAGACUGGAAUUCCCGGUGUAGCGGUGAAAUGUGUAGAGAUCGGGAGGAAGGCCAGUGGCGAAGGCGACUUCCUGGCCUGUUCUUGACGCUGAGGCGCGAAAGCUAGGGGAGCAAACGGG